RNAcentral lists this transfer RNA (66 nucleotides) under Paraglypturus tonganus (nomen nudum). RNAcentral describes it as "tRNA-Ser". Lineage: Eukaryota; Metazoa; Arthropoda; Malacostraca; Decapoda; Callianassidae. The record is from RNAcentral.
GGUUAUUUAGUUUAUAUAAAACCAUUGUUUUGAAAACAUUAGAAAGAGGUGUCCCUCUAAUAAUCA